This is a non-coding RNA of Trichobilharzia regenti, 45 nucleotides long. The record is from Rfam. NCBI's taxonomy places the organism in Eukaryota, Metazoa, Platyhelminthes, Trematoda, Strigeidida, Schistosomatidae.
AUCCAGAUGAUGAGUCUCAGACAGGACGAAAUACCCAUCCUGGAU